UACGUAGGCAGCAAGCGUUGUUCGGAUUUACUGGGCGUAAAGGGCGCGUAGGCGGCAUGACAAGUCACUUGUGAAAUCUCCGGGCUUAACUCGGAACGGUCAAGUGAUACUGUCGGGCUAGAGUACAGAAGGGGCAACUGGAAUUCUCGGUGUAGCGGUGAAAUGCGCAGAUAUCGGGAGGAACACCAAUUGCGAAGGCAGCUCGCUGGGACGUCACUGACGCUGAGACGCGAAAGCGUGGGGAGCAAACAGG
RNAcentral lists this ribosomal RNA (253 nucleotides) under uncultured prokaryote. Its description in RNAcentral is "partial 16S ribosomal RNA". It matches the Rfam family "Bacterial small subunit ribosomal RNA", at positions 524 to 776 of the family's 1533-position model. The record is from RNAcentral.